This 206-nucleotide long non-coding RNA is filed under the name Elaeis guineensis (African oil palm). Its description in RNAcentral is "long non-coding RNA (EGUI_LNC017807)". Lineage: Eukaryota; Viridiplantae; Streptophyta; Magnoliopsida; Arecales; Arecaceae. The record is from RNAcentral.
GGGAAUCGAAUGCCUUGCGACUAGAGGAAACAAUGGACCAGCAAUAGCUUACCACCUUGGUGCAGCAAGUUAGAGCUUUGACGGAGGUUGUCCAUAGUCUCCAGCAGACUGCAGAGUAGCAGCAACAAUAGUAAUGGUGGACAGUGGAUUUGACACCGCAGGAUGCACCCUCUAGGCAGAGUUCCCGACCCCAUUCUCCAUCCCGC